This is a long non-coding RNA of Mastomys coucha (southern multimammate mouse), 711 nucleotides long. RefSeq lists it as uncharacterized. Lineage: Eukaryota; Metazoa; Chordata; Mammalia; Rodentia; Muridae. The transcript has 6 exons. The record is from RefSeq and is a predicted model, not a curated record.
UGGGGAAGCACGGUGGAGUUUUGAGCUAGGGAGGAAUGUCAUCUAGCCCACGCAUUGGAGGGCCCAGUGAUGCUUCGGUGAGAGGCUGCAGAUGGACGGCGGAGGGACCCAGCCAGCAGAGAUGCCGCUGGAGCUUAGAAUUCAUCCUUCUGUCUGUCAGUGUGACGGAAAGUGAUGGAGCCUUGAUUUUUGAUCUCAGCUUCCCAAAUUCUAAGCUGGGCUCCGUACAGAAUUCAUUUGGAGCUGGCUUGACUCUCUGAGGAAGGGGAGGCAGAGACAGGAGAACUCCCUGAAGCUCAUGGGCUAGCCAGACUGGCAGACACAGUGGUGAACGAGACCAGAUACCAUCUCAAACAUAGUGGCAGGACCCUAGCGAGGCCCAAAUGAGGUAACUUCUUGUGAGACAUGGCGUUCUGUCCCUUGCACGGGGAGAGAGAUGAGUGACCUCAGGAAGAAGGAUCAUUGCGGACCCUGCUUUGUAGAUGAAGAGAUGAAGAUAGAUACCCGAAGCCCAGAGAGGCUAAGGUGUCUGAGGUGCACAGCUCCCAAGGAACAAAGCUAGAAUCUGAAUUCAGGCACAGACGCACUGGAAGCCUUGGAGGCAUUGGAUGCCCUUGAAGUCCCCUGGCAGGCACCCCUGGUGGAGCCCAUCUCCGAUACAGCUCCCAACCCCGAGCGCCCAUCCCCCUCUUCAGCGUCCGUGGACGGACC